AAGAAAAUGGCAGAGGGGUGAUGCAUUCGGCUUGAAACCGAAGGAUGGGGGUUCAACUCCCUCUUUUCUUG
RNAcentral lists this transfer RNA (71 nucleotides) under Craugastor augusti (barking frog). RNAcentral describes it as "tRNA-Ser". It matches the Rfam family "tRNA". From Rfam's summary of the family: Transfer RNA (tRNA) molecules are approximately 80 nucleotides in length. Their secondary structure includes four short double-helical elements and three loops (D, anti-codon, and T loops). Further hydrogen bonds mediate the characteristic L-shaped molecular structure. tRNAs have two regions of fundamental functional importance: the anti-codon, which is responsible for specific mRNA codon recognition, and the 3' end, to which the tRNAs corresponding amino acid is attached (by aminoacyl-tRNA synthetases). tRNAs cope with the degeneracy of the genetic code in two manners: having more than one tRNA (with a specific anti-codon) for a particular amino acid; and 'wobble' base-pairing, i.e. permitting non-standard base-pairing at the 3rd anti-codon position. The record is from RNAcentral. Lineage: Eukaryota; Metazoa; Chordata; Amphibia; Anura; Craugastoridae.